This 388-nucleotide ribosomal RNA is filed under the name Staphylococcus aureus. RNAcentral's name for it is "bacterial SSU rRNA". It matches the Rfam family "Bacterial small subunit ribosomal RNA", at positions 1071 to 1460 of the family's 1533-position model. Lineage: Bacteria; Bacillati; Bacillota; Bacilli; Caryophanales; Staphylococcaceae. The record is from RNAcentral.
GAUGUUGGGUUAAGUCCCGCAACGAGCGCAACCCUUAAGCUUAGUUGCCAUCAUUAAGUUGGGCACUCUAAGUUGACUGCCGGUGACAAACCGGAGGAAGGUGGGGAUGACGUCAAAUCAUCAUGCCCCUUAUGAUUUGGGCUACACACGUGCUACAAUGGACAAUACAAAGGGCAGCGAAACCGCGAGGUCAAGCAAAUCCCAUAAAGUUGUUCUCAGUUCGGAUUGUAGUCUGCAACUCGACUACAUGAAGCUGGAAUCGCUAGUAAUCGUAGAUCAGCAUGCUACGGUGAAUACGUUCCCGGGUCUUGUACACACCGCCCGUCACACCACGAGAGUUUGUAACACCCGAAGCCGGUGGAGUAACCUUUAGGAGCUAGCCGUCGAA